This 6376-nucleotide long non-coding RNA is filed under the name Olea europaea subsp. europaea. The record is from RNAcentral. Lineage: Eukaryota; Viridiplantae; Streptophyta; Magnoliopsida; Lamiales; Oleaceae.
CUAGAUAUUGGGAACAAUCUUUCGCUUUUAACAAUGUACUAUCAACAAAUCGAAAAUCAAUUCCUAUGAAUGAAAAAAUCACACAACCAAGAGUUAAGGAAUGUGGUGAGGGGAAGAUCGUUUGAAAGUGUGCUUGAUGAGAAAAAGUUGUCAUCGGAUAAAUCUUUGGACGUGUAACUUGUAAACGCAGGUGGGGCAAAGGUCUAACUAAAUGGAAUCUCCAAAACCAGCAGAAUUCUCACAAGCUAUGGCCUUGGACUUUGUCGAUAACUCUGUCAGUCGGUGAUUUGAACUUGUGUGAAAAUGGCAAAACUAGAAAGACUAACGGGAUAAAGUCACCUGGUGAACACUGCGACUUUUGACUGGGAUGGAAAGCAAAAGGAGAAUAGUGGGUACAUUUUCUGAGAAAGACGGAUGACUUGAUAUUUGGAUGGGAAGGAGACAAAUCAGGAGCCUCGUCUGUCCAUCAGGAAUCUCCAUCUUCAGUCAAGAGAAGCUGAUGAUGAAGGAACCAUUGACUGAGAAGGAAUUCAAUGGUAGAUUUUCUGGAAGCAAAAAGAUUAGAAUUUAGAAACCAUGGAAUGGCUCCUAGGACAGUAGUAAAAUAAAAGGAAGAUGGAUUUACUGGAAAAGGUAACUUGAAAGAGGCUCAAAAGGUACAAAGGAUAAGUUUUUAUUGGAAUUUAUUGGAUGUUACUCAGAUGGCCAAUGUUCAGAAGAUGAAUUCAGAAAUUUUUAACAUGCUGCACCCGGGACUGGGCACUAUUCAUCAGUAAUUUCUUUUGACAAUGCUGAGGAUUCAAUUGAUGGUUAUGAAGUCUGAUGCCCCUCUGCAAAGAAGAAUAUGAAUAGCUUUCGUGUAGAUAUGUGCAAAAUUGGAGUUAAGAGGGAAAUGUUUGAAGUUGUAUUCUGCUUCUUGUAUCCAAGAUACAACCCACCCUGUGAAGCAAGAAGAAAAAUUUAACCUCGUUGUAGCUGACAGAAGUCCUUCAGAAUUAAUCCCAUGUCCUAGAUGAAACAGAACACGUCAUAAUAUGCCUCACCAGUCAAAUAAUUACCAGCUUCCACUAAGCAUCGUAGAUCAUAAGAAAAAUGAGAAUAGAUGUUCUAUUCCCAAGAAUUUAAAUUUUUAUCAUAAAAAACCGUUUGGGAAGUUCUAUUAGGCAGAACGCCGGUGAUUGGAAUGAUCUGGAAAUAACUAAUAAUGCCGGUCGACCUUGAUAGACCGAUAAUGUCAAAGCAAUCUGGUAAAUUGGAUGGUGGGUUUUCCACACCAUCUGGUGGUACUUCAGGUAUCAUGAAGUUGAAUGCAUUAUCAAAUGGGAAUUCUAAGGGUUUUAUGUAUAUAAGCGCAGAAAGAAAAGCAAGCAAUCACGCAACAAACCCUAUAGAUCUCCCCUAAUGAAAGAGCUUGUGAGAUUGGGACACACUGAAUCUCUACCAGAUUUUUGUCAAAAGAUUUAAGAAGAUGAUGAGUUGCAGCCAAGGAUUGUACAUCUUGUUCAGCCAGAACUUAGACGCCAAAUACUAAAGCAGCAGAAAAAGGUACACAUUUGCCACUUAAUCAACAUUCUUGUAGCUUCAACAUAAUGUAAUGGUCAAUCAAAAGUUGGGUAUCUACUGAAAAAAAAUUCCAGCAGAUUGUGGCAUGAUUAGGCUUUUCAAUGGCAUCGUGUUGCUUAGCUGCUACUCAUUUUAUAACUGACAGAUUUGUGAGAACUAGAAAUAUGUUGGAAGCCAUUGCUCUUGGCAAACCAGGGGUGACACACUUAUGGCUCGAGAGCUGUGAACAAGCUGGCUAUUUCAUUGAUGAGAAAAGUUAAUAUUCGCCUUAAUCUUGCAAGUCCAAGUUAAUAUUCCGCCCCAGCUGUUUCUUAUAAGUAUCUUAUUCAAGAACGGGAAUAGAGAUUGAAAAACAGGCAUAACAGAGACAAACUCUAGAUUUGUGAACUGACUUAAUGAUUUCCAUCCUUUACUGUUGGUCACCAGAUUUUAUUGAUGCUCCUGCAUUCGGCGGAGCAAACAACUAUGCCAAAAGGAUAUCAUCUCCUAAUCGAUUCUGAGGGGCUAUCGCUGUUCAAUAUGGAUAAAGGUCCAUAUCUCGAGCCACCAUAACUCAUUCAUGACACAGAUGACCUUCCCGUUCAAGAAGCCCUUAUUACCACCUGAAUGUGCUGCUGUCCUGUCUGGUUGAUGAAUUGUGCAACUCAAAUCCAACACAACAGAGUUUUGUUAUGUUAGGAUGAGAUUGUUUACAUUUUUAUGAAAAAAUUUAUGUCUUAAACAAGUUUACCCUGCUACUGAUAUUUCAAAUUUGAUACUAGAAAGAAUUGUAUGAAAUGGUAUUGGUUAAUUGUACCAAGACCAAAAGCAUAUAUUUUCUUAUAUAGAAGUUUACAAUGAAGGAUGCACCUUUGUACAAAGAAAGAAUCAUACUAAAGGGAAUGAAUAAAGAUUAAAAGGAAUGAAAAAAGAAAAUAUGUUGUAAUCAAGCAAUCAACGCCUCUUCUUGUAAUCAAGUAAUCAUAUCUCUUCCAAUAUGGUAUGCUGACUGGUAUGCUGUCUGUUAGUUUCUUUAACAUCCCCCCGCAAGUGAAUAGGGGGAAGACAUACCAUGAGCUUGGCCUUGAGAAAGAGAAACCGAGAAGAAGGAAGUCCCUUUGUGAAAAUAUCAGCAAUUUGGUCAUAUGUAGAAAUAAACUUAACGGCAACAUCCUUGUUCAAAACUUUAUCCCGAAUAAAAUGAACAUCCCUUUGGUGAUAAGUAAAAAGCAAGUGAUCAACCAUGGAUCCCAUAAAUCCGAGUUCCAACAGACAUUGAGAGAAUCGAUUAAAGUAAGCUCUAGGAGCCUACUUUAAUCCAUAAAGGGAUUUAUUAAGACGACAUACAUAAUGUGGAUGUUGUGGAUCAACGUAGCCUUGAGGUUGAGAAAUGUAAAUUUCUUCAUCAAGAGUACCUUGAAGAAACGCAUUAGACACAUCCAAUUGCUUGAUAUCCCAUCCAAAGUGUACAGCAAGAAUCAAAACAAUGCGAACAGUGGCAGGUUUGAUGACAGGACUAAAGUCUCAGAAAAAUCAAUGCCACUAAUUUGAUUAUAUCCCUUAGCCACUAAGCAGGCUUUGCGACGAUCGAGAGAACCAUCCUCCUUCUGUUUAGUCUUAUAGACCCACUUAGUGUCAAUAACAUUAUGACCAGUAGGUUGGGGACAAAGGGUCAUGUGUUAUUGGCAAGUAAAGCAGCAUAUUCCUCAUUUAUUGCCUUUUUCCACUCUGCGGAAACUAUUGCGUGUGAGAAAUACAAUGGUUCUUUAGGUAAAGAAAUUGUGGUCAAGGCAGAUAUAGGAUGUUGGGUCGAGUAGUGGGUAACGAAAUCAAGAAAUUGCUUGGGCCGUGAAGAACCAGUUUGUGAUCUUGUUACAAUCUGAUUGGGAGGUGGAAUUGAAUUAGUCGAAGGUAAGUACGAUGAUGUGGAAGGGUGAGAGGAAUCCGUGACUAUAGGUUUGAUGGGAGAGAUGACUGAUUGAAUGGGUGAAGAAUCUUCCACCAAGUGAAAAGAAUUGUCCAAUGGAUGUAAGAUAUAGGAGUUAGAUACUUGUUCACGAGGGGAGUGAUGGAAAUCGAUGGUAGGAGAUAUGCAUUCGGUGAGGGAAGAGUGACCUGUUCAAAUGAGCUGCUUCGAAGAAAUAUUGGACACACAAUGUGUGAAAGAUCUUACAGUGGACGAGUGACAAGGGACUAUCCUUGGCUGGAAAAAGUAUCUCAUCAAACACUACAUAUCGUGAUAAGUAUACUCUCUUUGAGAUGGGAUCAAGACAUCGAUAACCUCUAUGAUAAGAUGAGUAGCCUAUGAAGAUGCACUAUUUACUACAGAAGGCGAGCUUGUUUGUAUUAUAGGGUCUAAGGAGAGGGUAACAAGCACAUCCAAAACAUUUUAAUUGAGAGUAAUCAGACUGUCUUUUGAAGAGAAGACUGUAAGGAGAGUUGGAAUGUAAAACGGGAGUUGGAAGUCGAUUGAUGAGAAAUAUGGCAGUGCAAAGGGUAUCAACCCAAAAUUGUUUUGGAAGAUUGGAUUGAGUUAAUAAAGAUAACCCGAUUUCCAUAAUAUGGCGAUGGAGAAUACCAUGAGAAUUGAGGAACGAAAUGAAUUGCUUUGAAGUAUAUUCUCCACCAUUAUCGAACUGAAAUUGUUUAAUUUUGCAAGAGAAAAGGUUUUCCACUAAUAGUUUAAAUUUGACAAAACAGUUAAAAACUUCUGACUUAGUGGUAAUAGGAUACAUCCAAGUAAAACGUGAAUAAUCAUCAAUAAAAAUAACAAAAUAUCGACAACCACUCGAAGAAGGAAUCGGAGAAACCCAAACAUCGAAAUGAACAAGAUCCAAUGGACUAACUGACACUCUAUUGGGACUGAUUAAAUGGUAAUUGUUUAUUUUUCCCUAGUUGACAAGAAGGACAAACAGACUCUUCAGACAAGGAUCCAGCAACUAGAAGCUUGAAGGAGGAAAAAUAAUUUGGUUGGUCACUUGUGAAGAAGGAUGGCCAAGACGAGCAUGCCACACAUCAAGAGGAGCUUUGAUCCAAAAAAAAACUACACUAGCAUGAUAAUUAUUAGGAGAAACUUUAUUUAAUUUGAUAGGAUAGAGACCACUUCACUUGUUCCCUCAAGAAGCUUUUUUCCAGUUAUCUUGUCCUCGACACAUUAAUGAGUAUCAGUUAGAAUAAAUAACAAUUGUUAUUUAUGUAGAAUUUGUUAAUAGAGAGCAAAUUGAUCAAGGCAUUAGGACAAUGUAGGAUAUUUUUAAAGGAUAAUUCUUUACGAGGAUUUUGGAUAGAGAAGGAACCGAUAUUGGAAAUGGAGAGACCAGAUCCAUUACCUACAGCUACCGAAUCCUCACCAGUGUAAGGUUCCUGCAAAGAUAACUUGGCAACUUCAUUUGUAAUAUGCUGGGUUUGCCCUAAUCAGCAUACCAUAUGUUGGACUCCUCAAAAAUAUGGUUGCUCUGAGCAACCAUUGCAGUAAGUUGAGCUGGUGGAUAGUGUCCUUGAUAACUGUAAUCCAUGCGAUGGUAGCAGUCCCAGGAUUGGUGACUUGUUUUUCCACAAAUCUUACAAGGAUUGCAAGUAUGAGAGUUGUCGUUCCCACUGGGCAUCAGAUUGGAUGGCCCUUCUUGCGCUUUUGAAGGUCCUUUGAAAAUUUUGGCUUGAAUGAACCAUGUCUUGGAGAGCUUUUAGGAGGAUAAUUUGGUUUGUUAUGCCACUAUCCUCCCUUACGUGAAUUUCUACCUGCAAUCAUAGCAAAUGCCACUAACUCCUCCAUAACAGCCCAUAACAGCCACCACAUUCUCCGGAUUCUUUCCACUCAAAGCUGCCACCAAUGCCUUCUUAAAAUUCUGUACUGUUGAGCCUCCUCUCCACUCUCUUUCCCUAUUUUUCCCACACAAAGCAAAGUCAGAGUCUUAUUAUGACUCUCCAUGAAAUACAAUUUUCCACCUCCAAUCAUAUCCCAUAUCUUCAGAAAAUUACCACCCGCUGUAGCAAUUAAACCCCCAAAUGGCAAGAAAAGCACACUUUCAACAGGUUUUUCAAGGUUGCUUUCAUAACAGCCCCCGAAUUCGAAACCAAACAUCCCAAAUACUUAACUAGUGGUCGUAUGAUCCCGAACAUAUCAUCACUCACAGGGUAAGCAUCACCGCACCGGACAUAAUUCUUAUGGCCAAGAGAUCAAAAAGACAUGUUUCACUGGUAACAUCCCAAUACUUCACAACAGAAUCAUCACCGCCGGAGAAUAAUUGAAACUUGUCAUCGGCACGUGGGUUAGCUCACAAGGCGCGCCGCCGCAAAAUGACCCUUCAAACGGCGGCGAUGGGUCCUGGACUUCGCAUCAAACGAACGAAUUUUCCCAGUCAAAUCUCCAGCAGCAAGAAGCUUCCCAUCACAGCGGAAGUAGCAUAAUCAGAAAAGGCAGAGGCGAUAGUAGGCCUGACCUUGAGGUUCGGCCACAAAACACAGAAACAUUAGCUGACGGAACGGGGGGCGGCGGCGGCGAAAUGAGCAAUUGGGGAAAACAGUAAACUACAGAUAUAAACGCAGUCACCUCAUCGCCCUUAAGAAAUCUCAGAUCACAGCUUACCGGUUCUCAUACAAAAACAAACUGGCCAGAAGUCCACAAGGAAACAAAAAAUUGAAACUAGAUUUGGUUCGGGGCUCUCCCUAAUGGGAAAGACCCCUCCAAAAAUAGGCGUAUGCCGCUGUUUUGCGGCGAGCACACGGUAUUCUUUAGUAAAAGGCGAAAGAAUAGUUCGCUCUGUGUUCACCGCACGGCUGCGUGGCUUAGAAUUGUCAGAAGCCGUUCAUUUUAUAAGCACUUUUUGGCUGGUCU